GCAGUACCUGCUGUCGGAAACAGCCCAGGCUCUCAGGCAGGGGACGGGGAUUUAUACGCUGAAACUUGCAACAUACAAAACCACAAAAGCAGCUGAAGCCAACCAGCAUGUGGACAUUUGCUUAAUUGAGAAAUAAGCACAUAGUUGUGGGUCAGUGACUAUACAGCUGAUUGGCUGAGGCUAUUUUAUUUUGGAAUAAUUUACAGUUGUUAAAUGGAUUUGGAAAAGCCUUAAUAGUGGUUAUUAAACUAUUGACUUAGCCUGACGUGUUCAGUGUAGUAAUCCGUGUUUGUGUUUGUGGCUGCGAGGCGGCUGCUGGAGCUGGGAAAGGUGCUGGAGCGCUCCUCCUGCGCGGACAUCAGCAAAGCUCUUCGGAUUUUAUCUGGGUCAGAAGCUUCCCCAUAGUUACAAAUUCAUUAUGUGCAUCUCCAUCAUCACCUAUUGAAACUAAUUUAAUGUCAAAAAACCCUCCUGUACAAAGAGUGACUUUUUUGCACCUGUGCAGAAUCAGACUCGUUUUAAACUGUUUGUGCAAUGAAUAACUUCAAGUGCAGCACUUGUCGAGUUUGCCCUUCUGGCCAGCAGUUCAAACUGUUCACGUUCAUUUAUACCACGGUGCAGGAUACAUUUGCUAAGGACUACAGAGCACGUAUUUUACGAUGCGUGGAAGAAAUCCCUCCAAAUGAACUAAAUAUCUCUCCUACUCAUCACGUCUCCUGUCCACAGCAGCAGAGGGAAUUCCCUCAAGGUCAUUGUUUCCUGGGGGAUGCUGUGCCUUAAUGGCAUUCAGGGCAGCACUGUUGUGAAGGAGCAAAUGAGCUCAGCUUGGACCACCAGCUUUGAGGGGUUUGGACCCCUUCAGCAAGGCCUGGAUCAGCCCAAAACACCUGUCAAGGACACACCUGAAGAGAGAGGAGUCUAAGCCGUGCUGGGCCACAAUGUUGGUGACUGCAACUUUGGGUUGGUUUGUGCUACGUAAGAGAGCUCAUCUGGGACUUCAGCAAGGAAACAAAUGUCUGUCAGUUGCACAGGUGAUGGAUGGAGUGAGUAAUCUCACAAGACAGGUGAGAAAAUCACAGAGAUGAGAUCAGCCACCAGGGAAGUAGACCAGAGGUUGGGUAAAAAAUGAAAAAGAAACAAAGUGUGUGGGGGAAGAGUUAUUCCACCUUCUUUAGAAUCAUAGAAUUAUUUAGGCUGAAAAAGUUCUUUAAGAUCAUCAAGUCCAGCCAUUGACCCAGCACUGCCAAGUAUACCACCAAACCAUGUCCUCAAGCAUCACAUCUCUCUGGGCAACCUAUUUCAAUGCUUGAUAACCCUUUCAGUGAAGAGAUUUUCCUAAUAUCCAAUUUAAACCUCCCCUGGCACAACUUGAGACUGUUUCCUGUUUUUGGGACUAAAACAACUACCAAUUGUAAGCACUGAAUCUGAAACAUUUUCUAUGUGUGAAGGCAUCUAGAAUGUUCUUUAGAGCAAAAACUGACCCUAAAAUGAGAGUCUGUUUUCUGGGAUGGAUAAAGGAAGCGUAUUCAGCAUGAAAUGGGUUAAAAAGUAGCAGGAGGGGCUUCAUCCUUCUCCUACUCAUCCUUUAUCUUUUCCUAGGUAAACAACAUUUCUUGAUUAAAAGAUAUGUUAGGUAAACCACGCAAAUCGGUUGCUAAAAUAUCAUGAUUACACUUCAAAUGUAAAAACACACAUGUUGCACUGGGCUCUUUCUGGGCUCCUCCGUGAGUGUGUGCCUAAGGGAUGUGCUGCUGCCUUACCCAUGGCUCUGCAGGGCUGG
RNAcentral lists this long non-coding RNA (1780 nucleotides) under Cyanistes caeruleus (blue tit). RNAcentral describes it as "lncRNA (ENSCCEG00000023575.1)". Lineage: Eukaryota; Metazoa; Chordata; Aves; Passeriformes; Paridae. The record is from RNAcentral.